CCAAAGGCUCUUUUAAGAGCCACCCACAAAUUCAAAGAAAGAGCUG
Molecule: regulatory RNA element, 46 nt
Organism: Anolis carolinensis (green anole)
Lineage: Eukaryota; Metazoa; Chordata; Lepidosauria; Squamata; Anolidae
Rfam family: Histone 3' UTR stem-loop
About the family: The mRNAs of metazoan histone genes lack a poly-A tail.
Source: Rfam